AGAGUUUGAUCCUGGCUCAGAUUGAACGCUGGCGGCAGGCUUAACACAUGCAAGUCGAGCGGUAACAGAGAUAGCUUGCUAUCUGCUGACGAGCGGCGGACGGGUGAGUAAUGCUUGGGAAUAUGCCUUAUGGUGGGGGACAACAGUUGGAAACGACUGCUAAUACCGCAUAACGUCUACGGACCAAAGGGGGGGAUCUUCGGACCUCUCGCCAUUUGAUUAGCCCAAGUGAGAUUAGCUAGUUGGUAAGGUAAUGGCUUACCAAGGCGACGAUCUCUAGCUGGUUUGAGAGGAUGAUCAGCCACACUGGGACUGAGACACGGCCCAGACUCCUACGGGAGGCAGCAGUGGGGAAUAUUGCACAAUGGGCGAAAGCCUGAUGCAGCCAUGCCGCGUGUGUGAAGAAGGCCUUCGGGUUGUAAAGCACUUUCAGUUGUGAGGAAAGGAGUGUAGUUAAUAGCUGCAUUCUGUGACGUAACAACAGAAGAAGCACCGCUAACUU
RNAcentral lists this ribosomal RNA (502 nucleotides) under uncultured bacterium. Its description in RNAcentral is "bacterial SSU rRNA". It matches the Rfam family "Bacterial small subunit ribosomal RNA", at positions 8 to 503 of the family's 1533-position model. The record is from RNAcentral.